GAAGAGCAUUAAUGCUGGAGGCCACAAACUUGGGCUUGCCCUGGAAUUGGAGGCUUAAUCCAGCUAAAAGAAACCUCUGGGAAUGGAUAUUAGAUUUGGCCUUAAUAUAUUUCCAUUGUGACCAGCAGGCAUUUUUCCCCCCAAGAAGGUGAUCAAAACAAGGAUGAUCUGAACAAGAGCUGUAUUUUAAAUAUUUAGACAGUUACUUGUUAGCUGGUUUCUAGUUGAAUUGGUUAUCUAGUUACCAAUGCUGCAGUCAUGCAGUCACCUAUGCAUUAUUUAAAUGUAUUUAACUGUUAAAUGCACUACCCACCAAUAAUGAAAUAGACCUUUAUGAAAACUGUGCAAUUGUGUGCAUGUUUGUUUUUAUGUUCCCUUUAACAUUGAAUAUUGCCAUAGAAUAAGAUGGAUCAGUGGAUGUUUUAAGAUGAGGGUAAAGAUUUUUUUGUUAAAUUCAACCAUCAUUAGAAUUACUUUUGGUAUCCCAAAACAUUACAAAUUAUGAAUAAAACAAGUAUACAUAAUUAAUGGCUCCAAGUAUUUGCAGUUAAAAAUUUGCCAGCUAGGGUCAAAUCUCCCUGAUAUUUAGCUGAUUCUUUAUUUUUCUGGUGAGCAUUUUGCUCUUAAUUCUGUGCCACAAGUCCUGUCUCUCUAGAAUUCCAGGAGCUUUUUGAGACUACAAUAAAAUAAGAGGAUAUACCCAGUUAUACUCUUCAGUUUCUAAGUUUGUACAGAAUUACACUGACUCAUUGUUAACCUCAGGAAUGGUGGGAGAAAGUGAUGAGAAUAGGACAAUGUAGGGAUCAUGCUGGAAGAUUAUGUAUGCACACCAGUGCCCCUGUGAGCUAUUGUUUGGGCUUGCCCCGGAAUUGGAAGCUUAAUUCACCUGAAAGAAACCCCUGGGAAUCAGAAGAUUUGACCUCAGUAUAUUUCUGUUGUGACCUGCAGGCUUUUUCCCCACAAGAAGGUGAUCAAGGAUGAUCUAAACAAGAAUUGUAUUUUAAAUCUUCAGUUACUUGUUAGUUGGUUUCUAGUGAAACUGGUUAUCUGGUGACCAGUGGUGUACCCCUAAAUCAGUGGGAUGGGAGGUAAAGUGUAGACAGCAUUGAUAACCAUAGGGUCUGAGAGGGGAAAUAUGGGUCCUAGUGGGAAGUCAUCACAUCACUCUUUUCCACCCAGGCCGACAUUGACUGGAAAGCUGUGUUAACCUGUGAGAUCAACGGCAAUCCUCUUGGCCUUCAUCUGGGCAUGAAUGAUUGAUGUUAAUGGGUGAUUCUGGUUGGAAAAGUCUAAAGAACAAGUUUUGUGAUAGGAGGUGCUAGUUUGAAGGAUAAAGCCAAAGAGAAGGGGAAAUUCACUGAACACAUCUGAAGUACAAAACCUAAAGCUCAGUUUGCAGCUUGAGAGAACAGAUUAAGACAAUGGAGUACUUUGGGACUUAUCAUUCAAGAAAUGAUAACAUGCUAAAAACUUCCAGGUUGAAAAGAAUCUGAUGAGAAUAGAAUUCAAGCAAGCUCUCCAUACAGAGACUAAGAGGGACAAGAGGCCUUUUUUGGUCUGUUAUGGUUUAGAUAUGAGGUGUCCCCCAGAAGCUCCUAUGUGAGACAAUGCAGGAAAGUUUAGAUGUGAAAUGAUUGGGUUAUGAAAGGUUUAACCAAUUCAGUGAAUCCCAUGCUAGGCAUUGACUAGUAACUUGAUAGCCAGUAGGUAUAGCUGGAGAAGGUGGGGCAUGCCUUUGGGGCUUAUAUUUUGUUGUGAGGAGUGCUGUCUCUGCUUCCUAGUGUGAUGUUCCCAGAUGUUUUCCUUUCCUAUACACUUCGGCCAUGAUGUUUUGCCUCACUUCAGACCCCAAAGAAUGGAGUCAGCCAUCUAUGACUUAAGACCUCUGAAACUGUGAACCCCCAAAUAAACUUUUUCUCCUCUAAUUGUUCUUGUCAGGUCUUU
RNAcentral lists this long non-coding RNA (1944 nucleotides) under Marmota monax (woodchuck). The record is from RNAcentral. Lineage: Eukaryota; Metazoa; Chordata; Mammalia; Rodentia; Sciuridae.